AUUUGUUAUUGUUUAUAAUCAACAUUUGGUUAUGUAAUUUUUAAAUUUGAUUAUUUUGUUGUAUAGUUAUUUCAAAUCGGAAUACGUUCGCAAACCUUCAGAAGGUUUAACACUUAUUUUAUAUCUUUACAAACUGAUUUUUUGAAAUUCUGAUUUGAUAGUUUAUGAGAGAUUAAUCAUGAGUGCAGUAAAGCGAGUGAUGCGAGAUUAUGGAUUUUUUUUUGUUGCAAUACCUGGUCUUGUUGCUAUCCAUUGGGCUUGGUUCAGGCUGCAAGGCAAUGAGCUGUUUGUUCCCAGAGAAAGUCGACUGAAUAAUCCACUUAUCCAAAAGAUAGAUAGUUACAUGGAUACUGUUAAAAAUGUAUUUUCUAGCAAAUCAAAUAGCACUUCUAGCCCUACUGAAUAAUGUUAUUUGGUUACAUUUAUAUUUGUAAAUUAUCUGUAAAUAGCAGUAGCAAAAAUAAAAAUAUUUUAAUUGUGUGAA
Molecule: long non-coding RNA, 484 nt
Organism: Argiope bruennichi
Lineage: Eukaryota; Metazoa; Arthropoda; Arachnida; Araneae; Araneidae
Exons: 3
Source: RefSeq, a predicted model, not a curated record